Hordeum vulgare subsp. vulgare (domesticated barley) is the source of this 85-nucleotide non-coding RNA. The record is from Rfam. NCBI's taxonomy places the organism in Eukaryota, Viridiplantae, Streptophyta, Magnoliopsida, Poales, Poaceae.
UUACACCUAUGAUGAGUUGCGAACUGUAUUGCCUACAUUGUUUGAUCAAAAUCUUGUGAGAAGUAAUGCAACGUCUGAGGAUGAA